UCCUCCCUCUUUCUUCGCGCUUAACACAUGCAAGUCGAGCGAUGAAAUCUUGACAGAUCCCUUCGGGGUGAAGCUAAGAUGGAUUAGCGGCGGACGGGUGAGUAACACGUGAGUAACCUGCCUUAGACAUUGGGAUAGCCUCGGGAAACCGGGAUUAGUACCAAAUGAAAUCAUAGGUGCCCAUGCACUAAUGAUCAAAACUCCGGUGGUCUAAGAUGUACUCGCGUCGCAUUAGCUAGUUGGUGCGGUAAUGGCCCACCAAGGCGACGAUGGGUAGCCGGCCAGAGAGAGUGGACGGCGACAUUUGAACUGAGAAACGGUCCAAACUCCUACGGGAGGCAGCAGUGGGGAAUAUUGCACUAUGGAGGGAACUCUGAUGCAGCGACGCCGCGUGAACGCUGAAGGCGUUAGAGUAGUAAAGUUCUUUUAUAUGGGAAUAUAAUGACGGUACCAAAAGAAAAAGCCCCGGCUAACUACGUG
Molecule: ribosomal RNA, 480 nt
Filed under: uncultured bacterium
Lineage: Bacteria
Description: partial 16S ribosomal RNA
Rfam family: Bacterial small subunit ribosomal RNA
Source: RNAcentral